This 497-nucleotide ribosomal RNA is filed under the name uncultured bacterium. RNAcentral's name for it is "partial 16S ribosomal RNA". It matches the Rfam family "Bacterial small subunit ribosomal RNA", at positions 28 to 507 of the family's 1533-position model. The record is from RNAcentral.
GAUGAACGCUGGCGGCGUGCCUAAUACAUGCAAGUCGAGCGAACGGACGAGAAGCUUGCUUCUCUGAUGUUAGCGGCGGACGGGUGAGUAACACGUGGAUAACCUACCUAUAAGACUGGGAUAACUUCGGGAAACCGGAGCUAAUACCGGAUAAUAUUUUGAACCGCAUGGUUCAAAAGUGAAAGGCGGUCUUGCUGUCACUUAUAGAUGGAUCCGCGCUGCAUUAGCUAGUUGGUAAGGUAACGGCUUACCAAGGCAACGAUGCAUAGCCGACCUGAGAGGGUGAUCGGCCACACUGGGACUGAGACACGGUCCAGACUCCUACGGGAGGCAGCAGUAGGGAAUCUUCCGCAAUGGGCGAAAGCCUGACGGAGCAACGCCGCGUGAGUGAUGAAGGUCUUCGGAUCGUAAAACUCUGUUAUUAGGGAAGAACAUAUGUGUAAGUAACUGUGCACAUCUUGACGGUACCUAAUCAGAAAGCCACGGCUAACUACGUG